This 408-nucleotide unclassified non-coding RNA is filed under the name Hevea brasiliensis (rubber tree). Lineage: Eukaryota; Viridiplantae; Streptophyta; Magnoliopsida; Malpighiales; Euphorbiaceae. The record is from RNAcentral.
CCCAUAACAACAUCAAAAUGAUGAAACUGUAAGUAACAAGGAAAAGAAUUACACUUGGCUUGACCUUCUUCCGGCUAUCAUAAAGAUUAAACUUAGUGACAAAGAAAAGAAUUACACUUGGCUUGACCUUCUUCCGGCUAUCAUAAAGAUUAAACUUAGUGACAAAGAAAAGAAUUACACUUGGCUUGACUUUCUUCUGGCUAGAGAAAAAAUUGCUACAAGGACAUCCGAUAUGUAAAGGUUUCUAGUUCAAAAUAAAGAAUACUGAUAUGAAGCUCAUCCUUCUCUUUAUAAGAGUCUUAAAAUACACUUAAUUUUAUCGUAUUGUGCAGUAGACAACUUCCACAAAAGAUCAUUAAAGUAAGAACAAUUGCAACAAACAAACAAACAGAAUCAAGCAUAUUAUAC